AGCAAAUGGAAGAGCAGGAGCAGACUGUCCCCAGCCUCUCUCCCGUGCCCCCACCCAGCGACAGCUAAAACAUUUCACUCGUCAGUCAGCGCUGGAAUUCUUGAGGGGCCAGGGAGCAAUUUGCAAAGGUGGAAAGAACAUGAAGCCAGACAAGACUGGCCACGUAAACCUGUAAGCCUUGUUUGGGACAGGAACCAAGGCUGAGGUGAAACCCCCUGCCUUCAGAAGACGAUCACAGCGGAUGAAUGAAUUAGUCUUGGAAAUGUUUUCAGCAGGUGAUCUGCUUGACUCAUUAGGAGAACUAUCUGGUUCAUUAGCCGAUAUACCUGGUUC
RNAcentral lists this long non-coding RNA (333 nucleotides) under Vulpes vulpes (red fox). Its description in RNAcentral is "lncRNA (ENSVVUG00000009385.1)". The record is from RNAcentral. Lineage: Eukaryota; Metazoa; Chordata; Mammalia; Carnivora; Canidae.